CCCUUAGAGUUUGAUCCUGGCUCAGAACGAACGCUGGCGGCGUGGAUAAGACAUGCAAGUCGAGCGCUAAUUUAAGGGUAGCAAUAUUCUUAAGUUGGAGCGGCGCAAGGGUGCGUAACACGUGGGUAAUUUGCCGUGAAGUUGGGGAUAACUUGCUGAAAGGCGAGCUAAUACCGAAUGUGACGUUUGGAAGGCAUCUUCUGAAUUUCAAAGUUGGGGACCGUAAGGCCUGACGCUUCAUGAUAAGCCCGCGGCCUAUCAGCUAGUUGGUGAGGUAAUGGCUCACCAAGGCUAAGACGGGUAGCUGGUCUGAGAGGACGACCAGCCACACUGGAACUGAGACACGGUCCAGACACCUACGGGUGGCAGCAGUCGAGAAUUUUUCUCAAUGGGCGAAAGCCUGAAGGAGCGACGCCGCGUGGGGGAUGAAUGGCUUCGGCCCGUAAACCCCUGUCAUUUGCGAACAAACCUUACGAUUUAAUAGAUCGUGAGCUGAUUGUAGCGAAAGAGGAAGGGACGGCUAACUCUGUGCCAGCAGCCGCGGUAAUACAGAGGUCCCAAGCGUUGUUCGGAUUCACUGGGCGUAAAGGGUGCGUAGGUGGUCGGGUAAGUCUGAUGUGAAAUCUCCGAGCUUAACUCGGAAAUGGCAUUGGAUACUAUUCGGCUAGAGGGUUUGAGGGGGGACUGGAAUACUUGGUGUAGCAGUGAAAUGCGUAGAUAUCAAGUGGAACACCAGUGGCGAAA
RNAcentral lists this ribosomal RNA (744 nucleotides) under uncultured bacterium. RNAcentral's name for it is "bacterial SSU rRNA". It matches the Rfam family "Bacterial small subunit ribosomal RNA", at positions 1 to 720 of the family's 1533-position model. The record is from RNAcentral.